UCGGGAAUUUUGGGCAAUGGGCGAAAGCCUGACCCAGCAACGCCGCGUGAGGGAUGAAGUAUUUCGGUAUGUAAACCUCGAAAGAAUGGGAAGAAUAAAUGACGGUACCAUUUAUAAGCUCCGGCUAACUACGUGCCAGCAGCCGCGGUAAUACGUAGGGAGCAAGCGUUGUUCGGAUUUACUGGGCGUAAAGGGCGCGUAGGCGGCGCGGUAAGUCACUUGUGAAAUCUCUGAGCUUAACUCAGAACGGCCAAGUGAUACUGCUGUGCUAGAGUGCGGAAGAGUCAACCGGAAUUCUUGGUGUAGCGGUGAAAUGCGUAGAUAUCAAGAGGAACACCUGAGGCGAAGGCGGGUUGCUGGGCCGACACUGACGCUGAUGCGCGAAAGCCAGGGGAGCAAACG
RNAcentral lists this ribosomal RNA (402 nucleotides) under uncultured bacterium. RNAcentral's name for it is "bacterial SSU rRNA". It matches the Rfam family "Bacterial small subunit ribosomal RNA", at positions 355 to 774 of the family's 1533-position model. The record is from RNAcentral.